CGGUUAUCCCGUGGUCAUUUGAGCCGGCCGGCUUGCCGCCACGUUAAACAAGGAUGCUAAAAGGCCGGGGACACGUGCGC
This 80-nucleotide non-coding RNA is filed under the name Rhodovulum sp. RNAcentral also lists the same sequence under 1 other name. Lineage: Bacteria; Pseudomonadati; Pseudomonadota; Alphaproteobacteria; Rhodobacterales; Paracoccaceae. The record is from RNAcentral.